UACGUAGGGCGCAAGCGUUGUUCGGAAUUACUGGGCGUAAAGGGCGCGUAGGCGGCCUUCUAAGUCAAACGUGAAAUCCCCAGGCUUAACUUGGGAACUGCGUCCGAUACUGGGAGGCUUGAGUGCGGGAGAGGGAUGUGGAAUUCCAGGUGUAGCGGUGAAAUGCGUAGAUAUCUGGAGGAACACCGGUGGCGAAGGCGGCAUCCUGGACCGACACUGACGCUGAGGCGCGAAAGCUAGGGGAGCAAACGGG
This 253-nucleotide ribosomal RNA is filed under the name uncultured bacterium. Its description in RNAcentral is "partial 16S ribosomal RNA". It matches the Rfam family "Bacterial small subunit ribosomal RNA", at positions 524 to 776 of the family's 1533-position model. The record is from RNAcentral.